UACAGAGGUGGCAAGCGUUGUUCGGAAUUACUGGGCGUAAAGGGCGCGUAGGCGGCCAUCUAAGUCAGACGUGAAAUCCCCGGCUUAACCUGGGAACUGCGUCUGAUACUGGACGGCUUGAGUAUGGGAGAGGGAUGUAGAAUUCCAGGUGUAGCGGUGAAAUGCGUAGAUAUCUGGAGGAAUACCGGUGGCGAAGGCGGCAUCCUGGACCAUUACUGACGCUGAUGCGCGAAAGCUAGGGGAGCAAACGGG
RNAcentral lists this ribosomal RNA (252 nucleotides) under uncultured bacterium. Its description in RNAcentral is "partial 16S ribosomal RNA". It matches the Rfam family "Bacterial small subunit ribosomal RNA", at positions 524 to 776 of the family's 1533-position model. The record is from RNAcentral.